CGGAGAAUGCUUUGUUUUUCUUAAUACUUUAUAAAUACCCAGAGAUUCUUCGACACGAUGUCGAAGGAAGGCGCCCCUGAGCCAGGACGGCGAAUGGGCGCCGGUCUCGUACGGCAUCAUAAAACAUGCUAAAGUAUUUAGAAAAACAAG
RNAcentral lists this non-coding RNA (150 nucleotides) under uncultured Acetatifactor sp. The record is from RNAcentral. Lineage: Bacteria; Bacillati; Bacillota; Clostridia; Lachnospirales; Lachnospiraceae.